Molecule: small nucleolar RNA, 125 nt
Organism: Caenorhabditis elegans
Lineage: Eukaryota; Metazoa; Nematoda; Chromadorea; Rhabditida; Rhabditidae
Source: Ensembl
GUCCUUUUUAAUCUGGCCUGAAUUAUUUUGAUUCUACGCCCUUCAGGAAGGACCAUAGGAAAUUUUGCCUCUUACCCCCGGUGUGAUAGUUUGUCAGAAUCGGUCAUUGUGUGCACGAACACUUU